UUAAGUGACUAAGCGUACACGGUGGAUGCCUUGGCAGUCAGAGGCGAUGAAAGACGUAGUAACUUGCGAUAAGCCCAGAUUAGGUAGUAACAACCAUUUGAGUCUGGGAUUUCUGAAUGGGGAAACCCACGUGCAUAAGCACGUAUCCUUACCUGAAUACAUAGGGUAAGGAGGCGAACCGGGGGAACUGAAACAUCUAAGUACCCCGAGGAAAAGAAAUCAACCGAGAUUCCGAAAGUAGCGGCGAGCGAAAUUGGACUAGCCCUUAAGCUUUACACGCGUUAGACGAACGGUCUGGAAAGUCCGACGAUACAGGGUGAUAGUCCCGUAGUUGACGACGUGUGUUCAGUGAAAUCGAGUAGGGCGGGACACGUGAUAUCCUGUCUGAAUAUGGGGGGACCAUCCUCCAAGGCUAAAUACUACUGACUGACCGAUAGUGAACCAGUACCGUGAGGGAAAGGCGAAAAGAACCCCUGUGAGGGGAGUGAAAUAGAACCUGAAACCGUGUACGUACAAGCAGUAGGAGCAGGCUUUGUCCUGUGACUGCGUACCUUUUGUAUAAUGGGUCAGCGACUUAUAUUCAGUGGCAAGGUUAACCAUCUAGGGGAGCCGUAGGGAAACCGAGUCUUAACUGGGCGUUCAGUCUCUGGAUAUAGACCCGAAACCAGGUGAUCUAGCCAUGGGCAGGUUGAAGGUUGAGUAACAUCAACUGGAGGACCGAACCGACUAAUGUUGAAAAAUUAGCGGAUGACUUGUGGCUAGGGGUGAAAGGCCAAUCAAACCUGGAGAUAGCUGGUUCUCCCCGAAAGCUAUUUAGGUAGCGCCUCGGACGAAUACUACUGGGGGUAGAGCACUGUUAAGGCUAGGGGGUCAUCCCGACUUACCAACCCUUUGCAAACUCCGAAUACCAGUAAGUACUAUCCGGGAGACACACGGCGGGUGCUAACGUCCAUCGUGGAGAGGGAAACAACCCAGACCGCCAGCUAAGGUCCCAAAUUACUACUAAGUGGGAAACGAUGUGGGAAGGCUCAGACAGCCAGGAUGUUGGCUUAGAAGCAGCCAUCAUUUAAAGAAAGCGUAAUAGCUCACUGGUCGAGUCGGCCUGCGCGGAAGAUGUAACGGGGCUAAGUAGUAAACCGAAGCUGCGGCAAUAUACUUUUGUAUAUUGGGUAGGGGAGCGUUCUGUAAGCGGUUGAAGGUGUGUGGUAACGCAUGCUGGACGUAUCAGAAGUGCGAAUGCUGACAUGAGUAACGAUAAAGGGGGUGAAAAACCUCCUCGCCGGAAGACCAAGGGUUCCUGUCCAACGUUAAUCGGGGCAGGGUAAGUCGACCCCUAAGGCGAGGCCGAAAGGCGUAGUCGAUGGGAAACGGGUUAAUAUUCCCGUACUUCUUACAAUUGCGAUGGGGGGACGGAGAAGGCUAGGUGGGCCUGGCGACGGUUGUCCAGGUUCAAGUGCGUAGGCUUGAGAGUUAGGUAAAUCCGGCUCUCUUUAAGGCUGAGACACGACGUCGAGCAUCUACGGAUGUGAAGUCAUUGAUGCCAUGCUUCCAGGAAAAGCCUCUAAGCUUCAGAUUGUAAGGAAUCGUACCCCAAACCGACACAGGUGGUCGGGUAGAGAAUACCAAGGCGCUUGAGAGAACUCGGGUGAAGGAACUAGGCAAAAUGGUACCGUAACUUCGGGAGAAGGUACGCUCUCGACGGUGAAGUCCCUUGCGGAUGGAGCUAUUGAGAGUCGCAGAUACCAGGUGGCUGCAACUGUUUAUUAAAAACACAGCACUGUGCAAAAUCGUAAGAUGACGUAUACGGUGUGACGCCUGCCCGGUGCCGGAAGGUUAAUUGAUGGGGUUAGACUUCGGUCGAAGCUCUUGAUCGAAGCCCCGGUAAACGGCGGCCGUAACUAUAACGGUCCUAAGGUAGCGAAAUUCCUUGUCGGGUAAGUUCCGACCUGCACGAAUGGCGUAAUGAUGGCCACGCUGUCUCCACCCGAGACUCAGUGAAAUUGAAAUCGCUGUGAAGAUGCAGUGUACCCGCGGCUAGACGGAAAGACCCCGUGAACCUUUACUACAGCUUGGCACUGAACAUUGACCCUACAUGUGUAGGAUAGGUGGGAGGCUUUGAAGCACGUACGCCAGUAUGUGUGGAGCCGUCCUUGAAAUACCACCCUUGUAGUGUUGAUGUUCUAACGUCGACCCCUAAUCGGGGUUGCGGACAGUGCCUGGUGGGUAGUUUGACUGGGGCGGUCUCCUCCCAAAGAGUAACGGAGGAGCACGAAGGUGGGCUAAUCACGGUUGGACAUCGUGAGGUUAGUGCAAUGGCAUAAGCCCGCUUGACUGCGAGAAUGACAAUUCGAGCAGGUGCGAAAGCAGGUCAUAGUGAUCCGGUGGUUCUGAAUGGAAGGGCCAUCGCUCAACGGAUAAAAGGUACUCCGGGGAUAACAGGCUGAUACCGCCUAAGAGUUCAUAUCGACGGCGGUGUUUGGCACCUCGAUGUCGGCUCAUCACAUCCUGGGGCUGAAGUCGGUCCCAAGGGUAUGGCUGUUCGCCAUUUAAAGUGGUACGCGAGCUGGGUUUAGAACGUCGUGAGACAGUUCGGUCCCUAUCUGCCGUGGGCGUUGGAAGAUUGAAGGGGGCUGCUCCUAGUACGAGAGGACCGGAGUGGACGAACCUCUGGUGUUCGGGUUGUGUCGCCAGACGCAUUGCCCGGUAGCUAAGUUCGGAAUCGAUAACCGCUGAAAGCAUCUAAGCGGGAAGCGAGCCCUGAGAUGAGUCUUCCCUGAUACUUUAAGUAUCCUAAAGGGUUGUCGGAGACUACGACGUUGAUAGGUCAGGUGUGUAAGUGCUGUGAGGCAUUGAGCUAACUGAUACUAAUUGCCCGUGAGGCUUAACCAU
RNAcentral lists this ribosomal RNA (2889 nucleotides) under Vibrio parahaemolyticus. RNAcentral's name for it is "bacterial LSU rRNA". It matches the Rfam family "Bacterial large subunit ribosomal RNA". The record is from RNAcentral. Lineage: Bacteria; Pseudomonadati; Pseudomonadota; Gammaproteobacteria; Vibrionales; Vibrionaceae.